Malania oleifera is the source of this 2412-nucleotide long non-coding RNA. RefSeq lists it as uncharacterized. The transcript has 5 exons. Lineage: Eukaryota; Viridiplantae; Streptophyta; Magnoliopsida; Santalales; Ximeniaceae. The record is from RefSeq and is a predicted model, not a curated record.
CAGUAAUAAGGUAUUUUAAAAUUUUGAAAAAAAAAACCAAAAAUCGAAAGAAAAAUCCUUUUGUGGUAUGAAAAAUGAAAUAUUAAAAAAUUAAAAUGUUAAAAACUAAAGUCUAUUUUGGUGAAACUUAUGAAUUGAAUUAACAAUUAUUUAAAGAAUUAAAAAUGUAAUAUAUUCCGAUUAUAUUAAUGUCUGAGGUGGGCCAUGGAGGGUCUGGGCCUGGGGCUGUACUCGUCCGACGGCGAGAGGGUGCAGGUUUGAAUGACCAGCGCAUGAUAAUCGUACCGCACCCGCCCAUCUCUCUGGCCUCCGCCCCCGUGUCAGGACGGCCAGCUGUAUCUCUGACCUGCAGGCGAUUCGACGUCAUUUCUGCAAAGUUGCAUCCAUAAUCUUUUUUUUUUUUAAAUAUAAAUGUGGGUAUUUGAUUUUGUUUUUGUCUUACAUGAUUCAUGAACAUGGUUUAGGGAUCGGCGAGGGAUGAAUGUGGACGGGGGUGGGGUUAAGGCUAUCCCACCCCAAAGUAAGUUUGUGUCUUUUCCCAAACGGCAGCUUUGCCCCGUUCAGGCUCUGCUGCGAUUUGGCUGCACGCAAAAAGUCUACUCGUUUUGUUUUGCUCUCUGCAUAGUCCGUAUUCGUCCGGCACGUGUUCACGGACUCUGUGUGUUCUACUGUUCUCCAUUGAUCAUGUGUGUGGUCCACGGUUCAAUAUUAAUUAAGGCAUUUUUUUUUUCUUAUGAAUUUUUCCUACGACUGCAAACAAGUAUAGACUGAGUGUCGUGAUUGUCACAGCCUUUUCCGGCGUUAUUCCGAUCAGCCCCGGCGGCUUCCCGUUCGCGUCCUUCAGCCUCGACAACUCCCCUUGCACCGCAACGUUUAGAAUCUCCUUCGUCGUGAAAUCAAACGCCGUGACGCGGCCGCCAGCUGCCUCAAUCCAACUCGCGAUCGCGACCCGGCGAGGCGGCUGUCGGGAGUGCCGCCUUCGAAGAGGCAGAGGAUUCCUCUGGCAUCUUUACGCUCGGCGCUGCGGUGGUUGAGGACCAUGUCGGCUAGUGCUUUGAUUCCUCUCUGGUUCAGGGGUGUGAUUAAUGACUUCAGCACAUCCUUGGUUCCAUAUCAAUACUGCAAACAAGAGAGCAGAGGGCUACAUAGACACAAUGAGACCGGAGAGGAGUGCAGGUAAUCGUUGUCGAGGGCAGAGGGCAAAUUACAGAGGCCGGACAUGUGUCAGGUGACCAUUGCUUGUCGAACGGUCCUCAUGAACGUUGAAGAGUACCUAUAUAAACGGAGGAGAUAAGAUUGUGACGAUUCCAGGUUUGCUGGAUCGUUGGCUAGGCGAGGGAUUAUCGCUUAGAAAGGUGCUGCUCUAGCCUUCUGAAGGAGUGUAUAAAGGUGAUCCAGGUAGGUGAGCAGAUCAGGCUCGCAGAUAGAGGGGCUUCAGUACUGCCCUGUCAAUAGAGUGAGUAUUUUUGGGAGUAUUUAUGUAUAACCCUAACCCAAUUGAAGGUAUUUUGGGAAACAAUCAUAUAUGUAUAUUUUGAAAAAUAUUUUAGCACUCAGGUAUUGUAUAUUUUCUUGAUUGUGUUUGUAUGAAUUCCGCUUCUCGGUGUUUAGGUUGAUGGUUUGGUUUAAUCUAGUUGGUAUCAGAGCAUUAUAAAUUUUACAGUAUAAAAAAAAAAAUCAGAAUUGGAAAAUAUAUAGCAGAUCGUUAUAGACUGAGAGAUGUCAGAUAUAUUCCAGACCUGAGGAAGAAUUUGAUCUCAGUCGAUCAAUUGGCAAAUGAAGGAUAUAACACAUCUUUCAUUAGUGAUGAAUAGAAGAUUUCGAAGGGUGCAUUGACAAUUGCUCGAGGUAAGAAAAGUGGUACUCUUUAUUAACUCCUGAUGCAUGCAUGUCUAUUACAAUUGCUACAGGAAAUGAUGAUAGUAACUUAUGACAUCAACGACUUGGACACCUGAGUGAGAAGGGACUCAGGGUGAUGCACUCAAAGGGUAAGUUGAGUGAUUUACAGUCGAUGAAGAUCGACACAUAUGAGGAUUGCAUAUUUGGGAAAUAGAAGAGAGUCAGUUUCCAGACAAACAUCAGUAUCCCAAAGAAGGAGAGACUUGAGCUAGUCCAUUCAGAUGUAUAAGGACCAACAACCAUUUUGUUCAUAGCUGGAAAACAUUAUUUCGUCAUGUUUAUCGAUGAUCAUUCACGGAAGGCCCUUUAGGUAACUGGAGCUAGCUACCUGGUGUUGGAGCGUAAUGUUGGUGUACUGCGAGAAGUACCUGGGUAACUCCUAAGCUUAUAUUGGGUGGUCUUUUGGAGGUUUGGACCGCCACCCAGAUUUGUGUUGUAUUUUGUGGAGUUAGACUCCUUUGUAUAGACUUUGGUAUGAUACUGUACAUUUAUAGAAAAACUUAUCUUCCGCUA